AGCAUUGCACAGUCCGUCCUUUUCAGCGUUCUCUGUGGGCUGACUACUGUCAUCAAGAGCCACCGGAUCAACAGCAAUCAGCAUGAACAGCUGCAUCAGCUGCUGCAUCGCUGAUGGGAAACCUUGGAUUCCUCUCGAGAGUUGUUACCGUGCUUGGAGAGGUUCCGCUUGUGCCUUUGCACAAUCAAACUGUUGAAAUACCACAAUACUUUGUCUCAGCAUCACUAGCUACAAGAAUGCUUGUAUUUUCUCGGAGGUACAGCUCUCCGGAGGGGAUUUUCAGGAUUUUCAUUGGAAGAGUACAUAAGGCGUUUAAACCCUCUUGUGUUCCCAUCCUGGCUCCAAUCACCUCACAGUCCCCUGGCUCAUCUCUGUGGAUUUCAGGGUUACACUGCAAGGAGUUUCUUUCUCUGAAGAUGGAGUAAUCAACAAUAUUCUGCAAAAGUCUACAGUAUUUCUGGCAAGGUGUUGCUUAGUGGAUGAAAUGAAUUUCUGCAACUCAGCCCCUAUCCAAUGAAGCCCUCCAGGACACACUGAAGUAGUCCCAGACGUGAAGCUGGCUGUGCUCUCCUGGGGACAAGGGGACAACCUGUAAGAAGCAGACGUGGUUCUGAUUUCCUCGGAAGAAGCACAAAAGGAGAUGUCCUGUUCUUUGAAAAUAACUGGAGCCACCGGCAAGAAGCAGCGACGCCGCACCGAACAAGGGAACCACUUCCAGGUUAUCCAAGCAUGCUGCUGAACUGACUUUUGCAGCUGCAUUUUCCAAUGUAC
Molecule: non-coding RNA, 771 nt
Organism: Zonotrichia albicollis (white-throated sparrow)
Lineage: Eukaryota; Metazoa; Chordata; Aves; Passeriformes; Passerellidae
Source: RefSeq, a predicted model, not a curated record